Schistosoma mansoni is the source of this 45-nucleotide non-coding RNA. NCBI's taxonomy places the organism in Eukaryota, Metazoa, Platyhelminthes, Trematoda, Strigeidida, Schistosomatidae. The record is from Rfam.
AUCCAGCUGACGAGUCCCAAAUAGGACGAACCACGGUUCCUGGAU